Molecule: non-coding RNA, 350 nt
Organism: Danio rerio (zebrafish)
Lineage: Eukaryota; Metazoa; Chordata; Actinopteri; Cypriniformes; Danionidae
Source: RefSeq, a predicted model, not a curated record
AGAUCAGGAAACUACAGAAGAGGUCACUUACAUUGCUCUAAAUUUCUCCAAAAGAAAACAACCAAAACCAAAAAUGAAUGAGGAGCAAGAGGUGGUGUAUGCAGGAGUUGCGGUCAGACGAUGAAUUAUAAAAUAUUUUCUGUUUGCUAAACUAUUUAAUUGUAUCAAUGCUGUUUUUUUGUGUAAACCUUUUAUUCAACCUUUCAAAGCUGUGUACAAUAGGAUGUUUAAUAGUGUAAAUAUGAUUCAAAUACAAAAAUACUGCAUGAACAAUAAAAAAUAUUUUGCCUCCUCAUAUUCUACUGGGCAUUAGAUUAAAUACUUUCCAAAGGCGUUCUGUUUCAGUCCAG